AUGGCUCAGAUUGAACGCUGGCGGCAGGCCUAACACAUGCAAGUCGAGCGGCAGCACGGGUACUUGUACCUGGUGGCGAGCGGCGGACGGGUGAGUAAUGCCUAGGAAUCUGCCUGGUAGUGGGGGAUAACGUUCGGAAACGAACGCUAAUACCGCAUACGUCCUACGGGAGAAAGCAGGGGACCUUCGGGCCUUGCGCUAUCAGAUGAGCCUAGGUCGGAUUAGCUAGUUGGUGAGGUAAUGGCUCACCAAGGCGACGAUCCGUAACUGGUCUGAGAGGAUGAUCAGUCACACUGGAACUGAGACACGGUCCAGACUCCUACGGGAGGCAGCAGUGGGGAAUAUUGGACAAUGGGCGAAAGCCUGAUCCAGCCAUGCCGCGUGUGUGAAGAAGGUCUUCGGAUUGUAAAGCACUUUAAGUUGGGAGGAAGGGCAGUUACCUAAUACGUAAUUGUUUUGACGUUACCGACAGAAUAAGCACCGGCUAACUCUGUGCCAGCAGCCGCGGUAAUACAGAGGGUGCAAGCGUUAAUCGGAAUUACUGGGCGUAAAGCGCGCGUAGGUGGUUCGUUAAGUUGGAUGUGAAAUCCCCGGGCUCAACCUGGGAACUGCAUUCAAAACUGUCGAGCUAGAGUAUGGUAGAGGGUGGUGGAAUUUCCUGUGUAGCGGUGAAAUGCGUAGAUAUAGGAAGGAACACCAGUGGCGAAGGCGACCACCUGGACUGAUACUGACACUGAGGUC
Molecule: ribosomal RNA, 741 nt
Filed under: uncultured Pseudomonas sp.
Lineage: Bacteria; Pseudomonadati; Pseudomonadota; Gammaproteobacteria; Pseudomonadales; Pseudomonadaceae
Description: bacterial SSU rRNA
Rfam family: Bacterial small subunit ribosomal RNA
Source: RNAcentral